UACGUAGGGUGCAAGCGUUUGUUCGGAAUUACUGGGCGUAAAGCGCGCGUAGGCGGGCUUGUAUGUCAAUUGUGAAAUCCCCGGGCUCAACCUGGGAAUGGCAGUUGAAACUGCAAGUCUUGAGUACCCGAGAGGAUGGGAGAAUAGCUGGUGUAGUAGUGAAAUACGUAGAUAUCAGCUGGAAUACCUGAGGCGAAGGCGCCUAUCUGGUGGUGUACUGACGCUGAGGCGCGAAAGCGUGGGGAGCAAACAGG
Molecule: ribosomal RNA, 254 nt
Filed under: uncultured bacterium
Lineage: Bacteria
Description: partial 16S ribosomal RNA
Rfam family: Bacterial small subunit ribosomal RNA
Source: RNAcentral